Molecule: microRNA, 24 nt
Filed under: Prunus persica (peach)
Lineage: Eukaryota; Viridiplantae; Streptophyta; Magnoliopsida; Rosales; Rosaceae
Description: microRNA miRNA_93
Source: RNAcentral
AAAUACUAGCCUCUCUGCACGCGC